Long non-coding RNA from Lingula anatina, 1418 nucleotides. RefSeq lists it as uncharacterized. NCBI's taxonomy places the organism in Eukaryota, Metazoa, Brachiopoda, Lingulata, Lingulida, Lingulidae. The record is from RefSeq and is a predicted model, not a curated record.
GUUUGAUGUCCGAGGUCAAACAACAUCCUCAAUACAGCGGUGGAACUGCAGCUUAUAUAAAGUUUAUGUUGACAGAUCCCGUAUCUCUAAAACCUACCGGGUCACCUUGUAAUAGCAUUGACACACGUACUCAGUGUUUACUUUAGCUGUGUAUAUAAACAGCCACAUGCUAGGGGAGUAGAUAAUUUUACAACUGCUGUUGUUGCAUCGUAAAAAUUUGUAAGAUAUUUCCCUAUUUCCCCAAUACCAUGUCUUCCAGAGUUCUGAUAUUACUAUCCGUAAUUCUGAUGGUCACAUUCCACGUUGGCGCGAGUUCACUUGCGGUAGACAACGUACAGGCGGUGCCUCUAUGCUACUGGAUAUGUCAGCCAGGCCCUGUUGGUGACCCCCUGGUCUGUGACCGCUGCGACUACCAAGUGGGGACAUGUGUGUCCUUUGGCAGCCAAAAAUGCUGGGUUGGUGGUCGGAACUGCGCCAAAAGUAACUGGUACGCCAUCAAGUGCUGCCGUCACCACCAUUGUUAAAAUACCGUCAGAGGGCGCCACACAGUGGAACAGUAAUAUUGACUAUGGAACUGUAUGAUUACUGUUCAGUCAGUAUUAGUGGCAAAUUAAGAUUAUAGAAAAGAGAGAAAACAUUUUCAGUUGACAUCUUCAAAGAUACAUGACGACACAUGAUGAUCAAUUAUUGGUUCCCCUUAAAGAUAAUAAAAUAUUCAGUAUCUUGUGGUAUAUAACGACAUCUGUUUCGUUGUUGAUAUAUAUCGCCAUGGUGAUUUUACCUCACAUAAUUUAAGCGUCACCACUCACUCUGCUACAUGUUUAUUAGAAUAUCUACAGAUCGAACCACGGAGGGUUUUUAGCAUGAUGUCAUAUGUAACAAGACACAAGCUUUAACGCGGAAGAACUGCAGCCGGGGACAAAAAUAUCUGCUCAGAACUUAGCUAUGGAGAGCUAAGCAUACGAGUCAAAUUCUUUGUAUUGAAAUAACUGUUUUGACGUUUUCUCAUUAUCAUAACAUGCUACUUAGUCUGAUUUUAACACGAGUGCUAUGAAAAAAUAAGGAUAAAAAUUUUGCGUAUCAACAUGGUAUACUAAUGUACUGGUGUGUAAUUUGGGUACUUGUAUUUGAAAACGUUAUCACAUGGAAUAGCAGUUUAUCAACUUUACAUAAGCAAAUCGUAAAUAUCGGGACUCAAUUUUAAAAUGAGAAAAACGUUAUCGGUUUUGAGGGCACAACUUAUGCUAUCGAUUUUCGAGGCACACUUGUAUUAUUUAUGACGUUUAAACGUUUGAAUGCCACCACGAAAAUAAAUGAUAUGGAGUUGAAUUCGUCUAUUUACUGGAAUAUAUAAUCCCCCACGAAUUUUAGAAAAAAAAGCCUUUAUCAAGCAUCAAAUGCAUUUUAAGCAUUUUUAU